Molecule: small RNA, 748 nt
Filed under: Drosophila ananassae
Lineage: Eukaryota; Metazoa; Arthropoda; Insecta; Diptera; Drosophilidae
Description: GF19002
Source: RNAcentral
AGAAGCUGAUGCGCAUAGGAUCACCCCCCAGAUGGGCUGAAUUCUCUCGCUCUUAGCGCUCCGGAAACUCGGAAUCCCACUUUGGUAGCAGUGAUUCGAACUAUUCUUCGUCCCACUACAGUGGGCGCUCAAGGGGACGUGGCUUGCGGAUCAGCAACAUUGUGCAGGCCCAGAUCGAGCAACUCUUCACGGCCGUGGCCAAGGUCGCCAUUUGUAGCUUCGAUGUCACCUGCCUGGGAUCACUACCGCUGAAAGACAAGGUGACGAGCCUGCAGUGUUUGCAGGAGCCACUGCGUCAGCUCUAUCUGUCGGAGUUGGCCAAUAAGAAACUCAGCUUGGGCUCUUUGGAAAUCUGUCCCACGGGACCACGGGUAAAGGUCAGUGCUACGGCCAUCUCGAAAGGAGCCAGUCCCGACGGAGCGGAGGAGAAUGAGUCCCAUUAUUACGCCCUUCCACAACAUUUCCGUGUGGUCAGCGGACCAACGUUCAGCCAAGGUGUCCUUGGGUUGUUUCUCAAGAUCCUCGACCAGUAGUGUAAUCGUAUCUACGUCUCGCCGCGUGUCCUCACGAAUGCGCUCAACUAUCUGAAGAAUGCUGUAAGCCACGCCUAUACCUGGAAGCUAAUCAAGCCGCACAUGGUGGCAGUUGUUCAGGAUGCGAUAUUCCCCAUCAUGUCAUUCACCGACUCCGAUCAGGACCUGUGGGUGAACGAUCCCUCCGAGUAUAUCCGCCUGAAGUUUGGAAAAUA